This 500-nucleotide ribosomal RNA is filed under the name uncultured bacterium. RNAcentral describes it as "partial 16S ribosomal RNA". It matches the Rfam family "Bacterial small subunit ribosomal RNA", at positions 30 to 523 of the family's 1533-position model. The record is from RNAcentral.
AUCGAACGCUGGCGGAAUGCUUUACACAUGCAAGUCGAACGGCAGCACGGACUUCGGUCUGGUGGCGAGUGGCGAACGGGUGAGUAAUGUAUCGGAACGUGCCCAGUCGUGGGGGCUAACGUAGUGAAAAUUACGCUAAUACCGCAUACGAUCUAUGGAUGAAAGCGGGGGAUGGCAAGACCCCGCGCGAUUGGAGCGGCCGAUAUCAGAUUAGGUAGUUGGGGGGGUAAAGGCCCACCAAGCCAACGAUCUGUAGCUGGUCCGAGAGGACGACCAGCCACACUGGAACUGAGACACGGUCCAGACUCCUACGGGAGGCAGCAGUGGGGAAUUUUGGACAAUGGGCGAAAGCCUGAUCCAGCCAUUCCGCGUGCAGGAUGAAGGCCCUCGGGUUGUAAACUGCUUUUGUACAGAACGAAAAGGUUUCUACUAAUACUAGGAGCUCAUGACGGUACUGUAAGAAUAAGCACCGGCUAACUACGUGCCAGCAGCCGCCGUAA